This 254-nucleotide ribosomal RNA is filed under the name uncultured bacterium. RNAcentral's name for it is "partial 16S ribosomal RNA". It matches the Rfam family "Bacterial small subunit ribosomal RNA", at positions 524 to 776 of the family's 1533-position model. The record is from RNAcentral.
CACGUAGGGGGCGAGCGUUGUCCGGAUUUAUUGGGCGUAAAGAGCUCGUAGGCGGUUCGGCAAGUCGGGUGUGAAAUUUCGAGGCUCAACCUCGAAACGCCACUCGAUACUGCUGUGACUGGAGUCCGGUAGAGGAGUGCGGAAUUCCUGGUGUAGCGGUGAAAUGCGCAGAUAUCAGGAGGAGCACCAAUGGCGAAGGCAGCACUCUGGGACGGUACUGACGCUGAGACGCGAAAGCAUGGGGAGCGAACAGG